CCAAUAGCGUAUAUUAAAGUUGUUGCAGUUAAAAAGCUCGUAGUUGAAUUUCGGGACCAUCAUGUUGGUCGUGCCUCGGUACGUACUGGCAUUGUUGGUUUCUCUCUUCUGACGAACCAUGAUGUCAUUUAUUUGGUGUUGUGGGAAAUCAGGACUGUUACUUUGAAAAAAUUAGAGUGUUUAAAGCAGGCUCACGCUUGAAUACAUUAGCAUGGAAUAAUGAAAUAGGACGUUUGAUUCUAUUUUGUUGGUUUCUAGGAUCGAUGUAAUGAUUAAUAGGGAUAGUUGGGGGCAUUAGUAUUCAAUUGUCAGAGGUGAAAUUCUUGGAUUUAUUGAAGACUAACUACUGCGAAAGCAUUUGCCAAGGAUGUUUUCAUUAAUCAAGAACGAAAGUUAGGGGAUCGAAGACGAUCAGAUACCGUCGUAGUCUUAACCAUAAACUAUGCCGACUAGGGAUCGGAUGAUGUUAAUUUUUUAAUGACUCAUUCGGCGCCUUACGG
This 500-nucleotide ribosomal RNA is filed under the name uncultured Glomeromycotina. Its description in RNAcentral is "partial small subunit ribosomal RNA". It matches the Rfam family "Eukaryotic small subunit ribosomal RNA", at positions 591 to 1093 of the family's 1831-position model. Lineage: Eukaryota; Fungi; Glomeromycota. The record is from RNAcentral.